RNAcentral lists this ribosomal RNA (468 nucleotides) under uncultured bacterium. RNAcentral's name for it is "partial 16S ribosomal RNA". It matches the Rfam family "Bacterial small subunit ribosomal RNA", at positions 28 to 507 of the family's 1533-position model. The record is from RNAcentral.
GACGAACGCUGGCGGCGUGCUUAACACAUGCAAGUCGAACGGAAAGGCCCUGCUUUUGUGGGGUGCUCGAGUGGCGAACGGGUGAGUAACACGUGAGUAACCUGCCCUUGACUUUGGGAUAACUUCAGGAAACUGGGGCUAAUACCGGAUAGGAGCUCCUGCUGCAUGGUGGGGGUUGGAAAGCUUCGGUGGUUGUGGAUGGACUCGCGGCUUAUCAGCUUGUUGGUGGGGUAGUGGCUUACCAAGGCUUUGACGGGUAGCCGGCCUGGGAGGGUGACCGGCCACCUUGGGACUGAGAUACGGACCAGACUCCAACGGGAGACAGCAGUGGGGAAUAUUGCACAGUGGGCGCAAGCCUGAUGCGGCAACGCCGCGUGCGGGAUGACGGCCUUCGGGUUGUAAACCGCUUUCGCCUGUGACGAAGCGUGAGUGACGGUAAUGGGUAAAGAAGCACCGGCUAACUACGUG